GGGCCAGUAGCUUAGUGGUUAAAGCACCGCCCUUAUAAGACGGGGAUCGAUGGUUCGAUUCCAUCCUGGCCCACCA
Molecule: transfer RNA, 76 nt
Filed under: Candidatus Ryanbacteria bacterium RIFCSPLOWO2_01_FULL_48_26
Lineage: Bacteria; Candidatus Ryaniibacteriota
Description: tRNA-Ile
Rfam family: tRNA
About the family: Transfer RNA (tRNA) molecules are approximately 80 nucleotides in length. Their secondary structure includes four short double-helical elements and three loops (D, anti-codon, and T loops). Further hydrogen bonds mediate the characteristic L-shaped molecular structure. tRNAs have two regions of fundamental functional importance: the anti-codon, which is responsible for specific mRNA codon recognition, and the 3' end, to which the tRNAs corresponding amino acid is attached (by aminoacyl-tRNA synthetases). tRNAs cope with the degeneracy of the genetic code in two manners: having more than one tRNA (with a specific anti-codon) for a particular amino acid; and 'wobble' base-pairing, i.e. permitting non-standard base-pairing at the 3rd anti-codon position.
Source: RNAcentral